GCAGCUAUUUUGCCGUAAAAGUCGUAGAAGCGUUAUCUUUGCAAGAGUUACUUUACAGUCAAUAAGAUUUCAGAAUUUAUAUUGUUUAAAUUGGAGCUAUACAUGUACACUACAUCAUGAAGCGGUUAUCGAAUGUUCCCGAAAAAUCUGCCUAAAAAAGUGGGCCAAAUGGCGUCCCGUUGUACCAUAGGCGGCUAAUGACAAAAUAACUUGAUCUCGUACGAGACGGCGAUUACAAGUUUAAUGCAUACGAAUUUCUUCUCUUAAGGCAAUAAGGUUAAACACUGGUGGGUGGUUGUGAUUGGAUGUUGGUCUAGCUGUGUACCAGAAAAGAUUUGUUGGGGGAUAAAUGUAAAUUUCCAACUGAAAAUAAUGGCAUUUCUUCUCUAAAACAAUGAAAAACUGCAUAACAUGGAGAUAAAUAGAAUUUGUUAUGUUUUGAAGGGCAUCACAAUAUAAAUGGCUGAAGGAACUACUGCAAUAGAGCUAUCAGAUAACCAGUGAAAACAGUCACACCAAGAAUUUGAUUGUUCAAAUUCUGAAUGAUGUUGACAAUGGUAAGGGAAGAAAGCAGUAUGAAUCUUUGCUGCAUAGUUCACUUCAUGUUCAUAUCUAUCAGGUAUCUUAUAGCAUAUGAACGGGUCAAUUUAUAAAAAGAAAUAGCUUAGAUGGGAUUUAUGGAAUUUCAACAAUGUCAGAGACUUCUCUUGUUAACUGGAAAUGUAAUUUCAAUUCUCCUUUAAGGUUAACAGAAAAUUCUCUGAAUACCGUCAAUCUAUUUGAAUGCUAAAUUUGUUUUUGACGGAAAUGCCAUGAACUUGUAAGGUCAUUUGACAGGAGACAUUGAUUUUGUGUUGAUAUUGGAAUCAGAAUGGAAUUCACCUGUUCAGAUGUACCAACUGGCCCCUGGACAGGAACCAGUAGCCUGAAAAUGAUUUUGAGUUACCUACAAACAACAAAUGUUGGGUUGGUAAUGUCUACUUCUUAUAUUUUUAGUAGGUUGUUGAAGGAAUGCUGAUUGUUUAUCUGCGAGUGGAAAUCUACUUGGCCACACUUAAAUUUGACAAAUAUCCUGAGAUUGAUGAAACCCAAAUGGAAAAAUUUAGCAAAAGAGAAAUGCUAGUAGGAUCCUGAAAAUAGUAACACUCAUCAAUGGAUGAAAUUAGGCAAUCAACUAAUGAUAGGUUAUGGAAACCAGCCAAUCCAGGAAGUUGAAUGGCAAAUCAAACUGGUGGCUGAAGUGCAAAACGAUGAUGGAACAGGAUAAAAAAGACAUCAUAUUCAACAUGCAACUUCUUAUCCAUCAUUGUAAGAAUUAAUGUAAAGGCGACAUUGUGGGGAAUUGAAAAAGGAGAAUCUUCUAGGCAAUCAAGGGGAAAUUGUAAAAGGUUUUGCCGACGUAUUAAAAGUAAUGUAUUAAUCAUUGUGUGUUUGGCCAACACCCUUGCAUUCUGUCCAAGGAUGUUCAAGACAUGCUGUUUACCUACAUCGAAAAGGCUAUUUUUAAAUUUAUGUAUAAAUACAUUUCAAAUUUUGUUUAGUUGAGAGUCGGCUGCCGUUUUCAGAAAACCAGCAACGGCAACUACACACCUUUCUCUUUGACGGUUUCUACGAAGAUUUGAGUCGGAUUUUGAAGAAGCUUUCCGUUGAACUCAAAGACGCUGAUGGACGUUCAGAUGCGGAAGUAACAAGUGAACGCUGGGAAAAUGAUCGUAAACGAAACAAUUCUGUAAUAGUAGAUUCUUUCAAGUCGUUCUUGGUUUGUCCGGAGUGCAACAAGGUCUCGGUUACAUUUGACGCUACUUUGUUUCUAUUGCUUCCAAUACUAGUAUUUAAAAAAAGGGCAAAGACCAAUUUAGUUGCAUCUGGUACGGUUGGAUCCUGAGCAGGAGAUCAUGAGCUAUCGAGUGAAAUCGUUGCAAUUCCAGAUUUCCAUUCAGAACUCAAUUGUUGAUAUGAGCUACCGGAAAGGCUUGGGACACCGUGCAUAUGCUGUUAUUUUACGUGUGGACCUAAAAAAGGAAAACGGAAUUAUUACGACUACGAUUCCUUAUUCGGUAUCCUCUUCAUCCAUCAAGUGUCUAUGGAAGGAAUUGAUCGUGAUCAGUUAUACCGAUGCAUAGUGACUCGUAUGAAAUGCAGCAAAUCACCAGGAUCUGGCAGACCUGUCAUCAUUUUGUGUUAUCAUGGAUUCAUCGUAUUCAAAUGAAAAUCUGUGAGAGUGAAAUGGACACUGAAGAUGCCGAGAUGUCCCUCGCAAAACGGCAAUGAACGGAGAUUAAAGGAUAGAUUCUUUUUCAAAGACUUCGCAGUCUGGCGACUUUUUCUAAAAUAUGGAUUUGGUCAAGUUGAAUGGAAAUUCGAGUCUUUUCAAAACCAAGAAAAAUUUAAGCCAAUUACUCUUGCUCGUAACUUCGAUAUUCCUAAUCAAACAUUUAUAAUGUUUUAUAAUCUUAGGUAUUGUCUUACCUGUAAGAAGUCCUACCUCUCAUCCAAUUUAAAACGUUUUCUAAAGUGAAAUUAAUUCUCAACACCCGUCAUAUACAAACUGUGCGAAGAAUGUACGAUAGCACCGUGGGAAAACAUGUUAUGGACAUCCUCUUCAGAAAGGUUUACCAUUUAUAAUUCUUUUUGUUUCUUCUCUCACAGAUCUUCAUAUAAUCCAUAUAAGUAAUAGCUUUAGGCUACAUUAAAAACAUGCUUCGUGACGGCUCUGCUAGAUGGCGUUAAGAAUGACAUCUAUCUCCACGAGAGGCGCUUAAAACUGUUGCUCACCAGAUGGCGAGGCGUUGGAAACUAAUACCAGAUUUUCGUGAAUAGCACGUUACUUACUAGGAUAUCAAUCAAUGGGAUCGGUGUUUGCGUUCGGUUCCGCAGUUUCAGGCGUAGGAUGUCGACAAAUUUCUUAGUUUCAAGAUCAUGUCCACUGAGCACAUUUUAUAAUGAGCCAGCCGAAUAUGGGUUAAGUUCCAUGCAUCAAAAAUUGGUUGUAUCAUACAUCUCGUGUUCGUUGCCUUAUAGUUUUGAAAAGAAUAAUUGAACGUUGUUCUGAAACUCAAUGUUACUGAAUGUUAUUUUUGAUGAUACCUACACCACAUUAUUAUGAAAACAAAACAAAAAAGCCUGGGAAGUUGCAGCCCGUCAUAAAAGGUAAAAUCUAUUGCCGCGUGGAUACCAGAUGGCAGUAGUGUGGUGAUUGUGCUGUUCCAGGUCAUUUGAAAGUUGACCUUGUCAUAAUCUGACAAAGUUAGUAACCAGAUGUUUUUGGGCAAACUACUGUAUGUUUGCCACUCAUCACUGCCCAUGAUUACCCAGUGAAAGGAUUCACACUCUGUUUGCCACUGGGUACUAGGUCUCAUACAUUCAUUGCGAUCAAAAUCAUGAUCCUAAACACACAAGGGAUGCUGACACUGUAGUUUACCAUUAUUGUUGAUUGCAGCAUAUUCAUAUAUGUUGGGAAACAUCCACUUUUUCAUCAUCAAACAUUCCAUCACCAAACAUCAUCAACCACAACAUCUACCAAUCCAUUACUUUUUCAGAAGCCAGGUUCUCCCUGUUACUUAGCCAGCUGUAAACAGGCAUAGGCUUUGAGACCAUCUCCACCUUUUGGACUGCAAAUGUUAAUCUUCCUUCUGUGAAACACUUCUGUUUCGACAAUUUCUGCAGUUUUGCCCCAGUGGAUCACAUGCAACUAUAUUUUCUUGCUCUUCCUGCUGCUUUUGUCUACGUCUUCACCUCAUCGCUGUCUUCUUUGACGUCUUUGCCUCAUCGCUGUCUUAAUCUACGCUGUAGCCUUUGCCACAUCACUGUCUUCAUCUACACUGUAGCCUUCGCCCCAUCGCUGUCUUCAUCUACGCUGUAGCCUUCGCCCCAUCGCUGUCUUCAUCUACGCUGUAGCCUUCGCCACAUCGCUGUCUUCAUCUACUCUGUUGCCUUCACCUCAUCUCUGUGUUCACCUACGCCGUCACAUUCGCGUCAUCGCUCGCUGUCUUCAUCUACCCUUUCACAUUUGCCUCAUCGGUGUCUUCGUCCCAUUGCCGUCUUCAAUCCAUCUAUCCAAGAAAUCCAUGGCUUAGGAACACGGAAAUAAUGACCAAAAAGGGUGCAUCAGCCGACGGCAAUGGAGGGAGGUCACCGUGGAACGUCGCUCUGGUAUUGUUUUGUUUUGCAUUGUAGUGUAUAAGUUAACCCGUUGGCUGCCACCCCGUUUGCGUCCCAUUUUUUUUGUAGCUUGUAGGGACCGGGCGCUGUUCUGCCUCAUGGUCUAUGCCAUGGGGGGAACAGUCGCCGCGCCUAAAGGCUUUGUGCCUUUAGGCGCCGUAGGCAAUGCACCAGUAGGGACUUCUCUUUGUCGGUGCGGUGGUAGAUUCCUGGGGUGUGCAUUCCCGGAAUGGUUUCUAUCACCGUGCCACCCCGGACUUGUCUUCGGACAAGUCCCACCUUGUUCGCGAUCCUUCUGACGUGAUGCGUAGCAAUAGUAGUUUAAGCAACCUAUGGGUUGCAUGGCCUGGCAGCCAACGGGUUAACUUAGUUUAAGUGUAUGUAUAUUUGUGUAUGUAUUUAUAUGUUAUGUAUUAUGUAAUGUGUUGUAUAAAACAGUGGUG
Daphnia magna is the source of this 4604-nucleotide long non-coding RNA. RefSeq lists it as uncharacterized. The transcript is spliced from 15 exons. NCBI's taxonomy places the organism in Eukaryota, Metazoa, Arthropoda, Branchiopoda, Diplostraca, Daphniidae. The record is from RefSeq and is a predicted model, not a curated record.